RNAcentral lists this ribosomal RNA (2442 nucleotides) under Escherichia coli. RNAcentral describes it as "partial 23S ribosomal RNA". It matches the Rfam family "Bacterial large subunit ribosomal RNA", at positions 418 to 2839 of the family's 2925-position model. Lineage: Bacteria; Pseudomonadati; Pseudomonadota; Gammaproteobacteria; Enterobacterales; Enterobacteriaceae. The record is from RNAcentral.
CGGGACACGUGGUAUCCUGUCUGAAUAUGGGGGGACCAUCCUCCAAGGCUAAAUACUCCUGACUGACCGAUAGUGAACCAGUACCGUGAGGGAAAGGCGAAAAGAACCCCGGCGAGGGGAGUGAAAAAGAACCUGAAACCGUGUACGUACAAGCAGUGGGAGCACAGAGCAAUCUGUGUGACUGCGUACCUUUUGUAUAAUGGGUCAGCGACUUAUAUUCUGUAGCAAGGUUAACCGAAUAGGGGAGCCGAAGGGAAACCGAGUCUUAACUGGGCGUUAAGUUGCAGGGUAUAGACCCGAAACCCGGUGAUCUAGCCAUGGGCAGGUUGAAGGUUGGGUAACACUAACUGGAGGACCGAACCGACUAAUGUUGAAAAAUUAGCGGAUGACUUGUGGCUGGGGGUGAAAGGCCAAUCAAACCGGGAGAUAGCUGGUUCUCCCCGAAAGCUAUUUAGGUAGCGCCUCGUGAAUUCAUCUCCGGGGGUAGAGCACUGUUUCGGCAAGGGGGUCAUCCCGACUUACCAACCCGAUGCAAACUGCGAAUACCGGAGAAUGUUAUCACGGGAGACACACGGCGGGUGCUAACGUCCGUCGUGAAGAGGGAAACAACCCAGACCGCCAGCUAAGGUCCCAAAGUCAUGGUUAAGUGGGAAACGAUGUGGGAAGGCCCAGACAGCCAGGAUGUUGGCUUAGAAGCAGCCAUCAUUUAAAGAAAGCGUAAUAGCUCACUGGUCGAGUCGGCCUGCGCGGAAGAUGUAACGGGGCUAAACCAUGCACCGAAGCUGCGGCAGCGACACUGUGUGUUGUUGGGUAGGGGAGCGUUCUGUAAGCCUGUGAAGGUGUGCUGUGAGGCAUGCUGGAGGUAUCAGAAGUGCGAAUGCUGACAUAAGUAACGAUAAAGCGGGUGAAAAGCCCGCUCGCCGGAAGACCAAGGGUUCCUGUCCAACGUUAAUCGGGGCAGGGUGAGUCGACCCCUAAGGCGAGGCCGAAAGGCGUAGUCGAUGGGAAACAGGUUAAUAUUCCUGUACUUGGUGUUACUGCGAAGGGGGGACGGAGAAGGCUAUGUUGGCCGGGCGACGGUUGUCCCGGUUUAAGCGUGUAGGCUGGUUUUCCAGGCAAAUCCGGAAAAUCAAGGCUGAGGCGUGAUGACGAGGCACUACGGUGCUGAAGCAACAAAUGCCCUGCUUCCAGGAAAAGCCUCUAAGCAUCAGGUAACAUCAAAUCGUACCCCAAACCGACACAGGUGGUCAGGUAGAGAAUACCAAGGCGCUUGAGAGAACUCGGGUGAAGGAACUAGGCAAAAUGGUGCCGUAACUUCGGGAGAAGGCACGCUGAUAUGUAGGUGAAGUCCCUCGCGAAUGGAGCUGAAAUCAGUCGAAGAUACCAGCUGGCUGCAACUGUUUAUUAAAAACACAGCACUGUGCAAACACGAAAGUGGACGUAUACGGUGUGACGCCUGCCCGGUGCCGGAAGGUUAAUUGAUGGGGUCAGCGCAAGCGAAGCUCUUGAUCGAAGCCCCGGUAAACGGCGGCCGUAACUAUAACGGUCCUAAGGUAGCGAAAUUCCUUGUCGGGUAAGUUCCGACCUGCACGAAUGGCGUAAUGAUGGCCAGGCUGUCUCCACCCGAGACUCAGUGAAAUUGAACUCGCUGUGAAGAUGCAGUGUACCCGCGGCAAGACGGAAAGACCCCGUGAACCUUUACUAUAGCUUGACACUGAACAUUGAGCCUUGAUGUGUAGGAUAGGUGGGAGGCUUUGAAGUGUGGACGCCAGUCUGCAUGGAGCCGACCUUGAAAUACCACCCUUUAAUGUUUGAUGUUCUAACGUGGACCCGUGAUCCGGGUUGCGGACAGUGUCUGGUGGGUAGUUUGACUGGGGCGGUCUCCUCCUAAAGAGUAACGGAGGAGCACGAAGGUUGGCUAAUCCUGGUCGGACAUCAGGAGGUUAGUGCAAUGGCAUAAGCCAGCUUGACUGCGAGCGUGACGGCGCGAGCAGGUGCGAAAGCAGGUCAUAGUGAUCCGGUGGUUCUGAAUGGAAGGGCCAUCGCUCAACGGAUAAAAGGUACUCCGGGGAUAACAGGCUGAUACCGCCCAAGAGUUCAUAUCGACGGCGGUGUUUGGCACCUCGAUGUCGGCUCAUCACAUCCUGGGGCUGAAGUAGGUCCCAAGGGUAUGGCUGUUCGCCAUUUAAAGUGGUACGCGAGCUGGGUUUAGAACGUCGUGAGACAGUUCGGUCCCUAUCUGCCGUGGGCGCUGGAGAACUGAGGGGGGCUGCUCCUAGUACGAGAGGACCGGAGUGGACGCAUCACUGGUGUUCGGGUUGUCAUGCCAAUGGCACUGCCCGGUAGCUAAAUGCGGAAGAGAUAAGUGCUGAAAGCAUCUAAGCACGAAACUUGCCCCGAGAUGAGUUCUCCCUGACCCUUUAAGGGUCCUGAAGGAACGUU